AUGAACGCUGGCGGCGUGCUUAACACAUGCAAGUCGAACGAAGCAUUUAAGACAGAUUCCUUCGGUUUGAAGUCUUUUAUGACUGAGUGGCGGACGGGUGAGUAACGCGUGGGUAACCUGCCUCAUACAGGGGGAUAGCAGCUGGAAACGGCUGGUAAUACCGCAUAAGCGCACAGUACCACAUGGUACAGUGUGAAAAACUCCGGUGGUAUGAGAUGGACCCGCGUCUGAUUAGCUAGUUGGCGGGGUAACGGCCCACCAAGGCGACGAUCAGUAGCCGACCUGAGAGGGUGACCGGCCACAUUGGGACUGAGACACGGCCCAGACUCCUACGGGAGGCAGCAGUGGGGAAUAUUGCACAAUGGAGGAAACUCUGAUGCAGCGACGCCGCGUGAGUGAAGAAGUAGUUCGCUAUGUAAAGCUCUAUCAGCAGGGAAGAUAGUGACGGUACCUGACUAAGAAGCUCCGGCUAAAUACGUG
Molecule: ribosomal RNA, 480 nt
Filed under: uncultured bacterium
Lineage: Bacteria
Description: partial 16S ribosomal RNA
Rfam family: Bacterial small subunit ribosomal RNA
Source: RNAcentral